This 497-nucleotide ribosomal RNA is filed under the name uncultured bacterium. RNAcentral's name for it is "partial 16S ribosomal RNA". It matches the Rfam family "Bacterial small subunit ribosomal RNA", at positions 28 to 507 of the family's 1533-position model. The record is from RNAcentral.
GACGAACGCUGGCGGCGUGCCUAAUACAUGCAAGUUGAGCGCUGAAGCUUGGUACUUGUAUCAACUGGAUGAGUAGCGAACGGGUUAGUAACGCGUUGGGAAUCUCCUUUUGAGCGGGGGUCACCCUAUGGAAACGACUGCUAAUACCGCAUAAAAACUCUAAACAAACGUUUUAAGUUCGUAAUAUGCAAUUGCAUCUCUUAACGAUGUUCCCUCGUUGUAUUAGUUAGUUGGUGAGGUAAAGGCUCACAAAGGCGAUGAUACAUAAUCGGCCUGAGACGGUGACAGGCCAGAUUGGGACGGAGAGAGGGCCCAAACACCUACGGAAGGCGGCAGUAGGGAGACGUCGACAAGGGGCGAAAGUCGGGCAGAGCAACGCAGCGUGGGUGAAGAAGGUUUUCGGAGCGUAGAGCUCUGUUAGUAGAGAAGAGCGUUGGUGAGAGUGGAAAGCGAAUCAAGUGACGGUAACAACCCAGAAAGGGACGGCUAACUACGUG